UUCGGAAUGAGUAGAGCGGCGGACGGGUGAGUAAUGCAUAGGAAUCUGCCCAGUAGUGGGGGAUAGCCCGGGGAAACCCGGAUUAAUACCGCAUACGUCCUACGGGAGAAAGCAGGGGAUCUUCGGACCUUGUGCUACUGGAUGAGCCUAUGUCGGAUUAGCUUGUUGGUGGGGUAAUGGCCCACCAAGGCGACGAUCCGUAGCUGGUCUGAGAGGAUGAUCAGCCACACUGGAACUGAGACACGGUCCAGACUCCUACGGGAGGCAGCAGUGGGGAAUAUUGCACAAUGGGGGAAACCCUGAUGCAGCCAUGCCGCGUGUGUGAAGAAGGCCUUCGGGUUGUAAAGCACUUUCAGUAGGGAGGAAGGCCCUAAAGUUAAUACCUUUAGGGAUUGACGUUACCUACAGAAGAAGCACCGGCUAACUCCGUGCCAGCAGCCGCGGUAAUACGGAGGGUGCGAGCGUUAAUCGGAAUUACUGGGCGUAAAGCGCGCGUAGGCGGUUAGUUAAGCUGGAUGUGAAAGCCCUGGGCUCAACCUGGGAACUGCAUUCAGAACUGGCUGGCUAGAGUACGAGAGAGGGUAGUGGAAUUUCCUGUGUAGCGGUGAAAUGCGUA
Molecule: ribosomal RNA, 616 nt
Filed under: Microbulbifer agarilyticus
Lineage: Bacteria; Pseudomonadati; Pseudomonadota; Gammaproteobacteria; Cellvibrionales; Microbulbiferaceae
Description: bacterial SSU rRNA
Rfam family: Bacterial small subunit ribosomal RNA
Source: RNAcentral